AUCUUUGCGCUUGGGGCAAUGACGCAGCUAGUGAGGUAUUAACUGAGGCGCGUCUAUUAUAAUAAUUUGCUCAUACAGAGUUGUGUUUUUGCAUAUAUCAAUAUUAAAUAGGCAAAUUAAUUCUUCAACCAAAUAUUUUU
This 140-nucleotide small nuclear RNA is filed under the name Medicago truncatula (barrel medic). Its description in RNAcentral is "sRNA gene29447". It matches the Rfam family "U4 spliceosomal RNA". Rfam says of the family: U4 small nuclear RNA (U4 snRNA) is a component of the major U2-dependent spliceosome. The record is from Rfam by way of RNAcentral. Lineage: Eukaryota; Viridiplantae; Streptophyta; Magnoliopsida; Fabales; Fabaceae.